GAUGAAGAACGUAGCGAAAUGCGAUAAGUAAUGCGAAUUGCAGAAUUUCCGUGAGUCAUCGAAUCUUUGAACGCACAUUGCGCCCACUGGUAUUCCGGUGGGCAUGCCUGUUCGAGCGUCAUUAUCCUCCCUCAAAACUCCUGUUUUGGUGUUGGGCCGCGUUGGUCACCUCCGACCAACGGGCCUCAAAGACAAUGACGGCGUCCGUGGGACCCUCUUCGCAGUGAGCUUUUGUUAGCGCGCGUUGAGUUUAAAGGAACCUCCGGGCCGGCCACCUUUAUCUAUUUUACAUGGUUGACCUCGGAUCAGGUAGGAAUACCCGCUGAACUUAAGCAUAUCAAUAAGCGGAGGA
RNAcentral lists this unclassified non-coding RNA (352 nucleotides) under soil metagenome. Its description in RNAcentral is "partial contains 5.8S ribosomal RNA, internal transcribed spacer 2, and large subunit ribosomal RNA". The stretch from base 1 to 121 matches the Rfam family "5.8S ribosomal RNA", at positions 35 to 154 of the family's 154-position model. The record is from RNAcentral.